AUUGAACGCUGGCGGCAUGCCUUACACAUGCAAGUCGAACGGCAGCACGGGAGCAAUCCUGGUGGCGAGUGGCGAACGGGUGAGUAAAGUAUCGGAACGUGCCCAGUCGUGGGGGAUAACGUAGCGAAAGUUACGCUAAUACCGCAUACGAUCUAUGGAUGAAAGCGGGGGAUCGCAAGACCUCGCGCGAUUGGAGCGGCCGAUAUCAGAUUAGGUAGUUGGUGGGGUAAAGGCUCACCAAGCCGACGAUCUGUAGCUGGUCUGAGAGGACGACCAGCCACACGGGGACUGAGACACGGCCCAGACUCCUACGGGAGGCAGCAGUGGGGAAUUUUGGACAAUGGGCGAAAGCCUGAUUCAGCCAUGCCGCGUGCAGGAUGAAGGCCUUCGGGUUGUAAACUGCUUUUGUACGGAACGAAAAGGCUCUCUCUAAUACAGGGGGCUCAUGACGGUACCGUAAGAAUAAGCACCGGCUAACUACGUGCCAGCCGCCGCCGUAA
Molecule: ribosomal RNA, 500 nt
Filed under: uncultured bacterium
Lineage: Bacteria
Description: partial 16S ribosomal RNA
Rfam family: Bacterial small subunit ribosomal RNA
Source: RNAcentral